Molecule: unclassified non-coding RNA, 244 nt
Filed under: plant metagenome
Description: partial contains small subunit ribosomal RNA, internal transcribed spacer 1, and 5.8S ribosomal RNA
Source: RNAcentral
UCUCCGUUGGUGAACCAGCGGAGGGAUCAUUACCGAGUUUACAACUCCCAAACCCAAUGUGAACCAUACCAAACUGUUGCCUCGGCGGGGUCACGCCCCGGGUGCGUCGCAGCCCCGGAACCAGGCGCCCGCCGGAAGGACCAACCAAACUCUUUCUGUAGUCCCCUCGCGGACGUUAUUUUUACAGCUCUGAGCAAAAAUUCAAAAUGAAUCAAAACUUUCAACAACGGAUCUCUUGGUUCUG